GCUAAUACAUGCAAGUCGAGCGGACAGAUGGGAGCUUGCUCCCUGAUGUUAGCGGCGGACGGGUGAGUAACACGUGGGUAACCUGCCUGUAAGACUGGGAUAACUCCGGGAAACCGGGGCUAAUACCGGAUGGUUGUUUGAACCGCAUGGUUCAGACAUAAAAGGUGGCUUCGGCUACCACUUACAGAUGGACCCGCGGCGCAUUAGCUAGUUGGUGAGGUAACGGCUCACCAAGGCGACGAUGCGUAGCCGACCUGAGAGGGUGAUCGGCCACACUGGGACUGAGACACGGCCCAGACUCCUACGGGAGGCAGCAGUAGGGAAUCUUCCGCAAUGGACGAAAGUCUGACGGAGCAACGCCGCGUGAGUGAUGAAGGUUUUCGGAUCGUAAAGCUCUGUUGUUAGGGAAGAACAAGUGCCGUUCAAAUAGGGCGGCACCUUGACGGUACCUAACCAGAAAGCCACGGCUAACUACGUGCCAGCAGCCGCGGUAAUACAAU
Molecule: ribosomal RNA, 500 nt
Filed under: Bacillus velezensis
Lineage: Bacteria; Bacillati; Bacillota; Bacilli; Caryophanales; Bacillaceae
Description: bacterial SSU rRNA
Rfam family: Bacterial small subunit ribosomal RNA
Source: RNAcentral